RNAcentral lists this ribosomal RNA (236 nucleotides) under uncultured bacterium. RNAcentral's name for it is "partial 16S ribosomal RNA". It matches the Rfam family "Bacterial small subunit ribosomal RNA", at positions 118 to 351 of the family's 1533-position model. The record is from RNAcentral.
UGAGCAAUCUGCCCUUCUCUUCGGAAUAAGCGUGGGAAACCGCGUCUAAUGCCGAAUACGACCUCCUUUCGCAUGAUCGGAGGUGGAAAGCUCCGGCGGAGAAGGAUGAGCUCGCGGCCUAUCAGCUAGUUGGUGUGGGUAAUGGCCCACCAAGGCGACGACGGGUAGCCGGCCUGAGAGGGUGACCGGCCACACGUGGGACUGAGACACGGCCCAGACCUCCGUACGGGAGGNAG